RNAcentral lists this ribosomal RNA (162 nucleotides) under Viola hybanthoides. RNAcentral describes it as "5.8S ribosomal RNA". It matches the Rfam family "5.8S ribosomal RNA". Rfam says of the family: 5.8S ribosomal RNA (5.8S rRNA) is a component of the large subunit of the eukaryotic ribosome. Lineage: Eukaryota; Viridiplantae; Streptophyta; Magnoliopsida; Malpighiales; Violaceae. The record is from RNAcentral.
AAUGACUCUCGGCAACGGAUAUCUCGGCUCUCGCAUCGAUGAAGAACGUAGCGAAAUGCGAUACUUGGUGUGAAUUGCAGAAUCCCGUGAAUCAUCGAGUCUUUGAACGCAAGUUGCGCCCGAAGCCUUUCGGCCAAGGGCACGACUGCCUGGGUGUCACGC